CAGUCGCCGCGGUAAUACGAAGGUCCCGAGCGUUGUUCGGAAUCACUGGGCGUAAAGGGAGCGUAGGCGGCGUGGUAAGUCAGAUGUGAAAUCCCGGGGCUCAACCCCGGAACUGCAUCCGAUACUGCCAUGCUAGAGGAUUGGAGAGGUAGCUGGAAUUCUUGGUGUAGCAGUGAAAUGCGUAGAUAUUGGGAAGAACACCGGUGGCGAAGGCGGCAACCUGGCUCAUUACUGACGCUGAGGCGCGAAAGCGUGGGGAGCAAACAGGAUUAGAUACCCGAGUAGUCCCUGUCUCUUAUAC
RNAcentral lists this ribosomal RNA (301 nucleotides) under uncultured bacterium. RNAcentral describes it as "partial 16S ribosomal RNA". It matches the Rfam family "Bacterial small subunit ribosomal RNA", at positions 509 to 807 of the family's 1533-position model. The record is from RNAcentral.